UAUCAAAUAUCUCUGCGGUUUGAU
This 24-nucleotide non-coding RNA is filed under the name Arabidopsis thaliana (thale cress). Lineage: Eukaryota; Viridiplantae; Streptophyta; Magnoliopsida; Brassicales; Brassicaceae. The record is from RNAcentral.